GUUUAUGGCCAUGCCACCCUGAAUGUGCCCUAUCUUGUCUGAUCUCAGAAGCUAAGCAGGGUUGGGCCUGGUUAGUAUUUAGAUGGGAGACCACCUAGGAAUACCAGGUGCUAUAGGUA
Molecule: ribosomal RNA, 119 nt
Filed under: Pteropus alecto (black flying fox)
Lineage: Eukaryota; Metazoa; Chordata; Mammalia; Chiroptera; Pteropodidae
Source: RNAcentral